This 405-nucleotide ribosomal RNA is filed under the name uncultured bacterium. RNAcentral's name for it is "bacterial SSU rRNA". It matches the Rfam family "Bacterial small subunit ribosomal RNA", at positions 28 to 463 of the family's 1533-position model. The record is from RNAcentral.
GAUGAAUGCUGGCGGCGUGGAUGAGGCAUGCAAGUCGAAUGGGUUUAGGCCCAUGGCAGACGAGGUAGGAACACGUAGGUACGUACCCCAAAGUCAGGGAUAACCCAUCGAAAGGUGGGAUAAUACUUGAUAGUCUCUUCGGAGUAAAGAUUUAUCGCUUUGGGAACGGCCUGCGGGCUAUCAGCUUGUUGGUAAGGUAACGGCUUACCAAGGCUACGACGGCUAGGGGAGGUGAGAGCCUGACCCCCACCGAUGGAACUGCGACACGGUCCAUACUCCUACGGGAGGCUGCAGUCGAGAAUCUUCCGCAAUGGGCGGAAAGCCUGACGGAGCGACGCCGCGUGGUGGGAUGAAGUCCUCGGUACGGUAACAACCUUUACUUGAGGGAGGGAAAGUUUUAGUUAC